UCUUUAUAGCUUGCUAUGAUAAAAAUUAGUGGCAGACGGGUGAGUAAUGCAUAGGAAUCUACCUAGUAGUAUGGGAUAGCCACUAGAAAUGGUGGGUAAUACUGUAUAAUCCCUGCGGGGGAAAGAUUUAUCGCUAUUAGAUGAGCCUAUGUUAGAUUAGCUAGUUGGUAGGGUAAAGGCCUACCAAGGCAGUGAUCUAUAGCUGGUCUGAGAGGAUGAUCAGCCACACUGGAACUGAGAUACGGUCCAGACUCCUACGGGAGGCAGCAGUGGGGAAUAUUGGACAAUGGGCGCAAGCCUGAUCCAGCUAUGCCGCGUGAGUGAGGAAGGCCUUAGGGUU
This 340-nucleotide ribosomal RNA is filed under the name Anaplasma platys. RNAcentral's name for it is "bacterial SSU rRNA". It matches the Rfam family "Bacterial small subunit ribosomal RNA", at positions 70 to 424 of the family's 1533-position model. Lineage: Bacteria; Pseudomonadati; Pseudomonadota; Alphaproteobacteria; Rickettsiales; Anaplasmataceae. The record is from RNAcentral.